Molecule: long non-coding RNA, 339 nt
Filed under: Volvox carteri
Lineage: Eukaryota; Viridiplantae; Chlorophyta; Chlorophyceae; Chlamydomonadales; Volvocaceae
Description: long non-coding RNA (VCAR_LNC002093)
Source: RNAcentral
UGUAAUCUUAUUGUUAAUAGUGUUGUAGUUCUCAAUCAGGCAUGGCGGGGGCUUCGCAGCACCUUUCAUCAAGUUUUAUUUAUCCUGGGUGCGCGCGGGGCCGCGCACUUCCUAGCGAGCCAGUACAUUCAUUGCGGCCGAUGUUGCAUAUGGUCAUACAUGCAUCCUCACAUUCGCCUUCCCGGUGUCCUUAACAUUAUCUGAGAAGAUGGAAGCUAUGACUCAGAUCCGCAAGAGGGGGACCCCGGCCUCACUCCUGUGCAGCCGGCAGGCGAAGGCGUUGCUAAAGCUAACCACCAUUAGGACCGUUAAACGAGCGGAUGGACGUCAUUGGCCGAG